Molecule: ribosomal RNA, 27 nt
Filed under: Drosophila ambigua
Lineage: Eukaryota; Metazoa; Arthropoda; Insecta; Diptera; Drosophilidae
Also listed under: 8 other names
Source: RNAcentral
AGCCAACAACACGCGGUGUUCCCAAGC